AUCUUUUGAAAGGCUACCUUUUCAAUCUAGAUCACCAUGACCAUUUCCACAUGGUCUCGCUGUGUUGCCAAAGCUGAUCUCAAACUUCUGGCCUCAAACAAACCUCCUGCCUUAACCUUCCAAAGUGCUGGGAUUAUAGACGAGCCACUGUGCCCUGCCAUGGAGUCAUGUGACACACAUAGUAAGCUGUCAGAUAUAUUUGAUAAGUUCAAAUAGACACCAAGUAAAAAAAGAUUCCCAUUUAUUCUCCCCAACUUGCCAACCCCCUAAAUUAAGUAAUGAAAUGAAACCAGCACCUUUUCAGUAUAUCUGACUUAAAAAUCAUUAUUUAUUCUGACCCAUUUAACUGCAGGAUUUUUCCCCUAGAGCAGACAGCUAUAGGUCUACAUCAUUAAGGAUUCUCAAAUAAGUGAAUUAUUGAAGCCACAUAAAAGCCAUCAAUUGCAAAUUCUACUUUGUUUAAGUAGCUAAAAUGAAAGUGGUGGAAAAACAGGAGAUGAGCAUAUUAAAUUCUCUACUAGUGCUGAAUCGUUAAAUGACUAGCUAAACAGCGAAGAAGAAAUCAUUCUAGAAUGCAGUGCUCUGGAUCCUGCUUUGUUAUGGUUAUAAUAGUAUUAAGUUAACAGUAUUAAUUUUAACAGCUUGACAGCUGGAGAAAACAUUGUUUCAGGAGUUAGGCUUUGUAAUCUGAGACUUGAGGGUUUUCUCAAUUUCUCUCUGUUUAUGAUAAAGAAAAACCCUAUUACUACUCCCUUUGUUUUGGUUAAAACUGAAAAUAACUGAUUUUGAAAUCAAAUAACCAGCAUAAUAUAAAGUCACCCAUGUGUUCUGCUCAUCCCUUACUUAAAACCUGUCAGCUGCCUUGGUGUAUUAAAGGUCUCCUCCACAUGCUUUUGUCUUCACUUUGGCCUAAUAGAUCUGCCAGUGCCAGAGGAUCACCCAGAGCCUCCAACUUGCUACCCACUGGUUUGCCACCAGAGUGAAUACCUACUUCCUUGUUUCCCCAGGGCCUGGUAGAAAAGAACUGCCUUGACUGCAGUCAUAUGUCAUCCCAACAUAUUCUACUCAAUACAAAGCAGUACAAAGUUCCAUUGUUUAAGUUAUUCAAACGGCAAAGUUUGACUAGAAUUUUGUUUUAUCAGUUAUAAUACUAUUCUUUUUUUACUCUUAUGGUUUUUUCCCAAAAUAAUCUACUUUUAAACCUAUAAUUAUUCUUUCAGCCAGUAUCUGCUGCAUAUCUUACUCCUUGCUAAACACUUACACGUCUUCAUGGGAAAGCUUGCAGUCUUACUGAGAGAUUAAAAAUAAUCAUAGUACAAAGAGAUUCACAGUUAAAUGCUAAAAAUGUGAUGAAGACAUAAAUACUGGAGAGGCUUAUAGAAAGAUGACCUCAGAAUGGGCAAGAGUGGUCAUGGAAAGCGUUGUGGUAAAGACACGGCAGAGAAGUGGCCACAUACUUAGUGCUACCACAUCUACAUUCAAAGCCCUAUUCCACACCUUGCCCUGGCCAGGUCCACCUUUGAGGUAAUGAUGACAGUUGCUGGGAAAAGAGAAAAGACCACUGGCUCACUACUUGUUUCUGCUGCUGUAAUAGAGAGGAGAAAAUGAUGAAAUGCUCUUGUUACCUUCCUGUUUGAAGAUUGCCUGGUCAUAAAAGGGAGUCAGAAGUCUGACUUCUCUAUCUCUACCCCUUAGGGGACUCUUUAACAACAAAAAGAAUGUAUUACAAGUAUGUCAAGCUGAUACACAAGGCUUUUCCUCCUGGAAGAUUGGUGUAAGGUGAUGAGUUUCUAAUCCCAAAUAUAUUUGCAUUUACCAGGCUUUUGUGAGUUUAAGAAGUUAUCUAUUAUACCUUUUUUUUUUCCCUAUAGGAAAAUGCUUGUUUCUAUCAAGAAUGACUCCUUUAUAAACUGGGGAGUAUCUUUAAGAGUGGUUUCAACCCUGACUGUAUAAUAUAAUCUGUUGAGGAGCUUAAAAAAAAUAUGGGUCAGGCGCGGUGGCUCAAGCCUGUAAUCCCAGCACUUUGGGAGGCCGAGACAGGCGGAUCAUGAGGUCAGGAGAUCGAGACCAUCCUGGCUAACACAGUGAAACCCUAUCUCUACUAAAAAAUACAAAAAACUAGCCGGGCGUGAUGGCGGGCGCCUGUAGUCCCAGCUACUCGGGAGGCUGAGGCAGGAGAAUGGCGUAAACCCAGGAGGCAGAGCUUGCAGUGAGCUGAGAUCCGGCCACUGUAUUCCAGCCUGGGCGACAGAGCGAGACUCUGUCUCAAAAAAAAAAAAAA
Macaca fascicularis (crab-eating macaque) is the source of this 2281-nucleotide long non-coding RNA. Lineage: Eukaryota; Metazoa; Chordata; Mammalia; Primates; Cercopithecidae. The record is from Ensembl.